UACGUAGGGUGCGAGCGUUGUCCGGAAUUAUUGGGCGUAAAGGGCUCGUAGGCGGUUUGUCGCGUCGGGAGUGAAAUCCACUGGCUUAACUGGGGGCGUGCGGGCGAUACGGGCAGACUGGAGUACUGCAGGGGGAGACUGGAAUUCCUGGUGUAGCGGUGGAAUGCGCAGAUAUCAGGAGGAACACCGGUGGCGAAGGCGGGUCUCUGGGCAGUAACUGACGCUGAGGAGCGAAAGCGUGGGGGAGCGAACAGG
Molecule: ribosomal RNA, 255 nt
Filed under: uncultured bacterium
Lineage: Bacteria
Description: partial 16S ribosomal RNA
Rfam family: Bacterial small subunit ribosomal RNA
Source: RNAcentral